AUACGUAGGUGGCGAGCGUUGUCCGGAAUUACUGGGUGUAAAGGGCGUGUAGGCGGGUAUGCAAGUCAGAUGUGAAACCCCACGGCUCAACCGUGGGCUUGCAUCUGAAACUGUAUAUCUUGAGUGUUGGAGAGGGAAGCGGAAUUCCUAGUGUAGCGGUGAAAUGCGUAGAGAUUAGGAGGAACACCAGUGGCGAAGGCGGCUUCCUGGCCAACAACUGACGCUGAGGCGCGAAAGCGUGGGGAGCAAACAGGAUUAGAUACCCUGGUAGUCCACGCUGUAAACGAUGGAUACUAGGUGUAGGUGGUGGAAAGCCAUCUGUGCCGAAGUUAACACAUUAAGUAUCCCACCUGGGGAGUACGGCCGCAAGGUUGAA
Molecule: ribosomal RNA, 376 nt
Filed under: uncultured bacterium
Lineage: Bacteria
Description: bacterial SSU rRNA
Rfam family: Bacterial small subunit ribosomal RNA
Source: RNAcentral